ACGGGCUUUUUUAACGUCACAUUAAGCUUUCCCGACUAUUACUCAAUUCAGUCCAUCUUCAUGGACUUUGAGUGGCUCCUGUCCACUCUGUUUGACGCCUCCCUGUUAUCUUACUGAGCCGCCAGAACUGGCGGCUCUUUUUUU
This 144-nucleotide small RNA is filed under the name Beta vulgaris subsp. vulgaris (sugar beet). Its description in RNAcentral is "Alphaproteobacterial sRNA BjrC1505". It matches the Rfam family "Alphaproteobacterial sRNA BjrC1505". Lineage: Eukaryota; Viridiplantae; Streptophyta; Magnoliopsida; Caryophyllales; Amaranthaceae. The record is from Rfam by way of RNAcentral.